GUUAUUUCGUUUGGAUGUAUUUCUUGUUUUUAUCGAUGACUGGCUUCCUUUUUGUCACGCUUUAGACUGAUGUACGGUCACAUUGGAUUUGAAAACGACAUCCUUUCUUCCAUAGAUCCACGCUACCUGAAAGAAGGCCGCCUUCUGAAUCCAACGAUACCAGUUAUGUGCACAUCGGACCUACGCUUCAAAAGAUACGGACAGAUCCACGCUACCUGAAAGAAGGCCGCCUUCUGAAUCCAACGAUACCAGUUAUGUGCACAUCGGACCUACGCUUCAAAAGAUACGGACAGAUCCACGCUACCUGAAAGAAGGCCGCCUUCUGAAUCCAACGAUACCAGUUAUGUGCACAUCGGACCUACGCUUCAAAAGAUACGGACAGAUCCACGCUACCUGAAAGAAGGCCGCCUUCUGAAUCCAACGAUACCAGUUAUGUGCACAUCGGACCUACGCUUCAAAAGAUACGGACAGAUCCACGCUACCUGAAAGAAGGCCGCCUUCUGAAUCCAACGAUACCAGUUAUGUGCACAUCGGACCUACGCUUCAAAAGAUACGGACAGAUCCACGCUACCUGAAAGAAGGCCGCCUUCUGAAUCCAACGAUACCAGUUAUGUGCACAUCGGACCUACGCUUCAAAAGAUACGGACAGAUCCACGCUACCUGAAAGAAGGCCGCCUUCUGAAUCCAACGAUACCAGUUAUGUGCACAUCGGACCUACGCUUCAAAAGAUACGGACAGAUCCACGCUACCUGAAAGAAGGCCGCCUUCUGAAUCCAACGAUACCAGUUAUGUGCACAUCGGACCUACGCUUCAAAAGAUACGGACAGAUCCACGCUACCUGAAAGAAGGCCGCCUUCUGAAUCCAACGAUACCAGUUAUGUGCACAUCGGACCUACGCUUCAAAAGAUACGGACAGAUCCACGCUACCUGAAAGAAGGCCGCCUUCUGAAUCCAACGAUACCAGUUAUGUGCACAUCGGACCUACGCUUCAAAAGAUACGGACAGGUAAGCUUUGGCCAAUCAGAUCGCAUAUGCUAACGAGGGUGGAAUUAAUGAGGGUGAAACUCGUUUUUAUCUAUAUACCUAACUCUAACCCUAACCCUAACCCUAACUCU
Molecule: long non-coding RNA, 1115 nt
Organism: Carassius gibelio (silver crucian carp)
Lineage: Eukaryota; Metazoa; Chordata; Actinopteri; Cypriniformes; Cyprinidae
Exons: 10
Source: RefSeq, a predicted model, not a curated record